Non-coding RNA from Nylanderia fulva, 230 nucleotides. The record is from RefSeq and is a predicted model, not a curated record. Lineage: Eukaryota; Metazoa; Arthropoda; Insecta; Hymenoptera; Formicidae.
UAUCCAAAUUUUUUUAACAGUUUCUUACAUAUUAUUACAAAGCAUGCGAAGAAUCAAACUAUACUGGAGCAUUUAUUAAAUUAUUUUCAAGAAAAAAAACCAAAACCUGUUACUAUACCUGCAGCAUUAAUUAUUAUUAUUAUUAACGUAUAUUCCGUAAAUCAAACUAAGUUAAUAGAAGAAUUCGUUGAAAGAUGGAAGACGGACUUAGCAGACAUAAUUAAUAUAAU